UACCUGGUUGGAUCUGCCAUAUUCUUUUCACAAAAAAAGAUGAAUCGCUGCAAAUCUAAGUACACAUGGUCGGUACAGGGAAUCUGUGAAUGGCUCAUUAAAUCAGUUAUGGUUCCAUUGAUCGCUCCAAUGUUACUUGUAACUGUGGCAGUUCUAGUGCUAAGACAUGCCAACAAGUGCUGACCUUCGGUGACAUGUGCAAUUAUCAGACCCAAAACCCAUAUGGGUUGCUAUCGGGUUCCCCACCCGCUUUUGGUAAUCCUUUGCAGCACUGGCGUCUCAUUCGAAUGUCUGCCCUAUCAACUUUUGAUGGUAGUUUCUGUGCCUACCAUGGUGACCAGGGCUAACGGGGAAUCAAGGUUCGAUUCCGGAGAGGCUGCCUGAGAAACGGCUACCACAUCCAAGGAAGGCAGUAGGCAUGCAAAUGAUCCACUCCCGACUCUGGGAUGUAAUGACGAAAAAUUACAAUACAGGACUCUUGAGUCCCUGUAAUUAGAAUGUGUACAUUACAAAUCGUAUUACUGAUGUUUAGAACUGAUGUUUAAAAAGCAUUUUACAGUGGUCAGUAACUUCUGAAAUUGUCAUUGUUUUAGCCAGUGGUGGAGACAGUAUCCAACAGCCCUUGAUCAUGA
RNAcentral lists this non-coding RNA (632 nucleotides) under Salmo salar (Atlantic salmon). RNAcentral's name for it is "Eukaryotic small subunit ribosomal RNA". It matches the Rfam family "Eukaryotic small subunit ribosomal RNA", at positions 1 to 713 of the family's 1831-position model. Lineage: Eukaryota; Metazoa; Chordata; Actinopteri; Salmoniformes; Salmonidae. The record is from Rfam by way of RNAcentral.